RNAcentral lists this ribosomal RNA (253 nucleotides) under uncultured bacterium. Its description in RNAcentral is "partial 16S ribosomal RNA". It matches the Rfam family "Bacterial small subunit ribosomal RNA", at positions 524 to 776 of the family's 1533-position model. The record is from RNAcentral.
UACGUAGGGGGCAAGCGUUGUCCGGAUUUAUUGGGCGUAAAGAGCGUGUAGGCGGCCGUACAGGUCAGCUGUGAAAACUCGAGGCUCAACCUCGAGACGUCGGUUGAAACCGUACGGCUAGAGUCCGGAAGAGGAGAGUGGAAUUCCUGGUGUAGCGGUGAAAUGCGCAGAUAUCAGGAAGAACACCCGUGGCGAAGGCGGCACUCUGGGACGGUACUGACGCUGAGACGCGAAAGCGUGGGGAGCGAACAGG